Molecule: ribosomal RNA, 98 nt
Filed under: Timarcha sinuatocollis
Lineage: Eukaryota; Metazoa; Arthropoda; Insecta; Coleoptera; Chrysomelidae
Description: partial 5.8S ribosomal RNA
Rfam family: 5.8S ribosomal RNA
About the family: 5.8S ribosomal RNA (5.8S rRNA) is a component of the large subunit of the eukaryotic ribosome. It is transcribed by RNA polymerase I as part of the 45S precursor that also contains 18S and 28S rRNA.
Source: RNAcentral
CAACUUGUGAACUGCAGGACACAUGAACGUCGACAUUUCGAACGCACAUUGCGGUCCUCGGAUACUGUUCCCGGACCACUCCUGGCUGAGGGUCGUAU